Pongo abelii (Sumatran orangutan) is the source of this 148-nucleotide unclassified non-coding RNA. It matches the Rfam family "Metazoan signal recognition particle RNA". From Rfam's summary of the family: The signal recognition particle (SRP) is a universally conserved ribonucleoprotein. It is involved in the co-translational targeting of proteins to membranes. The eukaryotic SRP consists of a 300-nucleotide 7S RNA and six proteins: SRPs 72, 68, 54, 19, 14, and 9. Lineage: Eukaryota; Metazoa; Chordata; Mammalia; Primates; Hominidae. The record is from Ensembl.
GCUGGGCGUGGUGGCGUGCGCCUCUAAUCCCAGCGGCUUGGGAGGCUGAGGCAGGAGAAUCGCUUGAACCCAGGAGGUAGAAGUUGCAGUGAGCCGAGACGGUGCCACUACACUCCAGCCUGGGUGACAAAGCGAGACCCUGUCUCAA